GCUGAUGGUUGCCAGGGGGCUCUGCUCUGAGUCAUCCCCUGGGACCCAGGAUGAUAGAGCAGCUACUUUCUGGAAAUUUGGUGGCUACCUGGGCAGUAGGUUAAUAGAGUUUGGUGAAGAAAGGGUUUUCUCUUAAAGCUUCUGACCGUAAGUGUUGUCACUUGGGUAGAAAUGUGUACUUCAUUGGCCAGAGAGUCACCGGAUCACAAACAGAUGAAGCAGAAAGAUGUGCUGGGAAGAGGAAGUGAAAGAGCCUGAGAUGAAUGAGGGAUCUAGGAUGUUGAGUGUUUAAGAAAUGUUUUGGCUGAAAGACAUGUGAGAUCUUAUAUCCC
Bos taurus (domestic cattle) is the source of this 332-nucleotide long non-coding RNA. Lineage: Eukaryota; Metazoa; Chordata; Mammalia; Artiodactyla; Bovidae. The record is from Ensembl.